Molecule: long non-coding RNA, 354 nt
Filed under: Anas platyrhynchos platyrhynchos (common mallard)
Lineage: Eukaryota; Metazoa; Chordata; Aves; Anseriformes; Anatidae
Description: lncRNA (ENSAPLG00000025520.1)
Source: RNAcentral
AAGCGGGGUAGCAACUCCGUGAAUCUGAAUAUGCCAUAUGGCAUUCUGCUUCCUUGUGCUUGUUUGAAGUUCAUUCAGUUUCUCACAAAUACACUUUUCAGAUUCAAAUAAAGAAGUCCCAAAUGAAGCAGAAUUCCGGAUGAACUGGAGAAAAAUGUCUGCCUCGUGUUCUGAAGGAUGCCUGCUGCAAAUAUGCUGCCCUUCAUCUUCCUGUAUCAAAUCUUGAGGCUGGUAGUUCAGGCAGAUCAGAUCAGCCAGGAUGUGGUCUCACAGGUAUUCGGAACAGGAGGAAGUUUGUGUCUGUCUGAAGAGAGAAAAUUCAUCUUCAAAGGCUGUGGGGCACCUACAGAAUGA